UUACCAGCGAGUGGCGGACGGGUGAGUAACACGUAGGUAACCUGCCCCAAAGCGGGGGAUAACAUUUGGAAACAGAUGCUAAUACCGCAUAACAAUUUGAAUCGCAUGAUUCAAAUUUAAAAGAUGGUUUCGGCUAUCACUUUGGGAUGGACCUGCGGCGCAUUAGCUUGUUGGUAGGGUAACGGCCUACCAAGGCUGUGAUGCGUAGCCGAGUUGAGAGACUGAUCGGCCACAAUGGAACUGAGACACGGUCCA
This 255-nucleotide ribosomal RNA is filed under the name Limosilactobacillus mucosae. RNAcentral describes it as "Lactobacillus mucosae partial 16S ribosomal RNA". It matches the Rfam family "Bacterial small subunit ribosomal RNA", at positions 85 to 333 of the family's 1533-position model. Lineage: Bacteria; Bacillati; Bacillota; Bacilli; Lactobacillales; Lactobacillaceae. The record is from RNAcentral.